AACGAACGCUGGCGGCAUGCCUAACACAUGCAAGUCGAACGAGACCUUCGGGUCUAGUUGCGCACGGGUGCGUAACGCGUGGUAACCUGCCCUUAGGUUCGGAAUAACUCCCCGAAAGGGGUGCUAAUACCGGAUAAUGUCUUCGGACCAAAGAUUUAUCGCCUUUGGAUGGGCCCGUGUUGGAUUAGCUAGUUGGUAGGGUAAAAGCCUACCAAGGAGAAGAUACAUAGCUGGUCUGAGAGGAUGAUCAGCCACACUGGGACUGAGACACGGCCGAGACUCCUACGGGACGGAGCAGUGGGGAAUAUCGGACAAUGGGCGAGAGCGUGAUCCAGCAGUGGCGCGUGAGUGAUGAAGGCCUUAGGGUUGUAAAGCUCUUUUAGCCGAGAUGAUAAUGACAGUACCGGGAGAAUAAGCACCGGCUAACUCCGUG
This 433-nucleotide ribosomal RNA is filed under the name uncultured bacterium. RNAcentral's name for it is "partial 16S ribosomal RNA". It matches the Rfam family "Bacterial small subunit ribosomal RNA", at positions 29 to 507 of the family's 1533-position model. The record is from RNAcentral.